GUCCUUAGUUACCAGCACGUUAUGGUGGGCGACUCUAAGGAGACUGCCGGUGGACAAACCGGAGGAAGGUGGGGAGUGACGUCAAGUCAUCAUGGCCCUUACGGCCUGGGCUACACACGUGCUACAAUGGUCGGUACAAAGGGUUGCCAAGCCGCGAGGUGGAGCUAAUCCCAUAAAACCGAUCGUAGUCCGGAUCGCAGUCUGCAACUCGACUGCGUGAAGUCGGAAUCGCUAGUAAUCGUGAAUCAGAAUGUCACGGUGAAUACGUUCCCGGGCCUU
Molecule: ribosomal RNA, 279 nt
Filed under: uncultured Pseudomonas sp.
Lineage: Bacteria; Pseudomonadati; Pseudomonadota; Gammaproteobacteria; Pseudomonadales; Pseudomonadaceae
Description: partial 16S ribosomal RNA
Rfam family: Bacterial small subunit ribosomal RNA
Source: RNAcentral